ACUCAAAUGAAUUGACGGGGAUCCGCACAAGCGGUGGAACAUGUGGUUUAAUUCGUCACUACGCGAGGAACCUUACCUAGGUUUGACAUGUAUAUGACAGCUCUAGAGAUAGAGUCUUCUUAGGGAAACCUGAGACAUAUACACAGGUGCUGCAUGGCUGUCGUCAGCUCGUGUCGUGAGAUGUUGGGUUAAGUCCUAUAACGAGCGCAACCCCUGCCAUCAGUUGCUACUUCGCAAGAAGGCACUCUGAUGGGACUGCCUGGGAAACCAGGAGGAAGGUGGGGAUGAUGUCAAGUCCGCAUGGUCCUUAUGCCUAGGGCUACACACGUGUUACAAUGGUCGGUACAAAGGGCUGCAAACUCGCAAGAGGAAGCCAAUCCCAAAAAGCCGAUCUAAGUUCGGAUUGAGGUCUGCAACUCGGCCUCAUGAAGUUGAAAUCGCUAGUAAUCGCGUAUCAGAACGACGCGGUGAAUACGUUCUCGGAUCUUGCACACACCGCCCGU
Molecule: ribosomal RNA, 503 nt
Filed under: uncultured bacterium
Lineage: Bacteria
Description: partial 16S ribosomal RNA
Rfam family: Bacterial small subunit ribosomal RNA
Source: RNAcentral